AGAUUGAACGCUGGCGGCAGGCUUAACACAUGCAAGUCGAGCGGGGAAGGGUAGCUUGCUACCUAACCUAGCGGCAGACGGGUGAGUAAUGCUUAGGAAUCUGCCUAUUAGUGGGGGACAACAUUCCGAAAGGAAUGCUAAUACCGCAUACGUCCUACGGGAGAAAGCAGGGGAUCUUCGGACCUUGCGCUAAUAGAUGAGCCUAAGUCGGAUUAGCUAGUUGGUGGGGUAAAGGCCUACCAAGGCGACGAUCUGUAGCGGGUCUGAGAGGAUGAUCCGCCACACUGGGACUGAGACACGGCCCAGACUCCUACGGGAGGCAGCAGUGGGGAAUAUUGGACAAUGGGGCGCAAGCCUGAUCCAGCCAUGCCGCGUGUGUGAAGAAGGGCUCGGGUUG
RNAcentral lists this ribosomal RNA (397 nucleotides) under uncultured soil bacterium. RNAcentral describes it as "bacterial SSU rRNA". It matches the Rfam family "Bacterial small subunit ribosomal RNA", at positions 26 to 425 of the family's 1533-position model. The record is from RNAcentral.